RNAcentral lists this ribosomal RNA (450 nucleotides) under uncultured bacterium. Its description in RNAcentral is "partial 16S ribosomal RNA". It matches the Rfam family "Bacterial small subunit ribosomal RNA", at positions 354 to 796 of the family's 1533-position model. The record is from RNAcentral.
GUGGGGAAUAUUCGACAAUGGGCGAAAGCCUGAUCCAGCCAUGCCGCGUGUGUGAAGAAGGUCUUCGGAUUGUAAAGCACUUUAAGUUGGGAGGAAGGGCAGUAAGUUAAUACCUUGCUGUUUUGACGUUACCGACAGAAUAAGCACCGGCUAACUUCGUGCCAGCAGCCGCGGUAAUACGAAGGGUGCAAGCGUUAAUCGGAAUUACUGGGCGUAAAGCGUGCGUAGGUGGUUUUGUAAGUUGGAGGUGAAAUCCCCGGGCUCAACCUGGGAACUGCCUCCAAAACUGCAUGACUAGAGUACGGUAGAGGGUAGUGGAAUUUCCUGUGUAGCGGUGAAAUGCGUAGAUAUAGGAAGGAACACCAGUGGCGAAGGCGACUACCUGGACUGAUACUGACACUGAGGUGCGAAAGCGUGGGGAGCAAACAGGAUUAGAUACCCCUGUAGUCC